Cuculus canorus (common cuckoo) is the source of this 1610-nucleotide long non-coding RNA. RefSeq lists it as uncharacterized. The transcript has 4 exons. The record is from RefSeq and is a predicted model, not a curated record. NCBI's taxonomy places the organism in Eukaryota, Metazoa, Chordata, Aves, Cuculiformes, Cuculidae.
GGAAGUUAAACUUGGGAAUGGGGGUAAGGAAAGGUGUUUUUUCUAAAGUCUGUAUUUUCUUUCUAGAAACAGAUGGAAUAAAAUUUCUCCCAAGCUGAGUCUGUUUUGCCCAAGACAGGCAUUAAUUCUAUAUUAUUACUGCCUGAAUCAUAAAGGAACCUUGGCUUUCAUGUCAGACAAAACAAGUUUCUGGGAAGUAAAGACCUCUGUGCAAAGUAAUGUGAAAAGCAGCUAUGGACAUACUGGCAGUGGAAUGAAGGAAGGAACAUAUUAGACUUCUCAAUGCUAAGAGAAAUUAGCAUCUUCAUGGACUUGUAUCAAAAUGUAUUCAAAUCAAGGUUAAAACACAUGUCGGCAAGGCUGAAAUUGAUGCAACACAAGUAUUCAGUGCCAGUUGAAGGCCUAAGCAUGGCAGAAAGGCUGAGUGUGAGACCAAGGGCCACCUGAUAUUAAGUAGACUUGUAACUGCUCUUGUUAAAGCUGGUAACUUAAGGACGAAGUAUUACUCUGCAAUUGAAAAAAAAUUACAGGUUUCCAAUUUACAAGAUUCUCUGCCUGAACUGCAUACAAAUUCGGCAUUUGAUUUUUAAAGCAUACACAUGUUUGAAAAUAAUCAAUAUGUUGCCAUCAUCAGACAUCUACUCAGAAAGGAGGAAAAGACUUCUAGAACUGGCAAAACAAAUUUAUAGCUCUCUUCACUCUGCUGCUAUUACUUAAGGUAGAAGGUUACUGAUCUUUUAAUCCUAAUGUUACAACCCAGGCCAGAAAUAGGAAGAAUGAAGAGUUAUUUUCUUUUCAAUGAUACACAUGUUGCAAACAACAAAACCAGAAAUGAUGUGAUAUUUACAGCCUUGGCCAUAAAAUAAUGUUUGCGUACAAAUGCUAUCUGCUAAAUACAUAGCAAAGUCAAGCAAGGUCUGUGGCGUGUAAGAUGGGAUCCAGGACGGCUGAAACCUCUGGGAAUCCUUCCAGUGAUGUCAGCCAGACCCACAUUUGGACUGCAGGAUCGGAAAGAUGCACAGGAUGUAGGUCUUUCCCUUCAUUACAAAGUAAAAUAUUUAAAUUCUGUAACAAACAUGGAAGUAUAGGUGCACUGCAGGCUAUUGUUGUCAUGAACCUCCUUAAAAAAUUCUGUAAUCCAGCAAAUUUUUCUUUGUCUUAUUUCACCAGUUGAUGCCUGAUGUUGUAAACGGUAUGAAUGGAUCAGAUUUUACCCAUGACUCAAAAAGGGAGAGGUAGGAAGGCAAAUUAUUUACCCCACCAUGGUGAUAAUCAGUUAGAAGCAGUAGGUAGAAAGACAGAGAGUGAAAAAAUGUCUUUAGACACAGCAUGGGCAACUCAGCCAGGAUAUUAUCUUAACACCUUUAAAUUUGAAUUUAUUAGAAUCAAGCAGAUGUGGUAUGGUUUUACCUUGCUAAGUUCUGCAUAAUUUACUGGAAUGUGUAGUACUUUUUUUUUUUGUAUGUGUGACUGCUAAAUGUUUUGCAGAUGUUAAAAUUUCAGCUCCACUGGAAUGGGAAAGAAUAUUUACUGGCAGAAGCUGAAAAAAUAUAGAAAGAAUUUUUAUGUCCAUCUUCUCUGAAACUUAAAAGUGAGUCUAAGUGAGUCUC